AACUAGCAGGCUGCUUGCUCCAUCAUGCUGAACAUCCUCAGAGAGGCCUUAUGGAACUCUGUCCUUGCAGUAUCCUGUUGGGGGAUGGAGAGGAAACAUUUCUUAUGCUUCUCUCCCAUUUCUGAUCCCCCAGUGGCCAAAGUUCACCUCCUGGGGGGCGUUAACUCUCAUGCAUUUUUAGUUCAAGUCACAGGACCUGCAAUUGGCAAUUUCUCAGAGUCUGAGUCUGGAAGUGAUGGGAGGUGCCAGGAAUCACCAGUGGCAGCCUUAGUGGCAAACGCUGGUGGCCCUGGUGGUUGCAGGGGAGAUCACCGUAGCCUGGAGUAGGCACAUCUGCAAGGUGCCAGGGUGUUUACACACACUGGAAUGUCAGUGAAGGCAUUCUCAUGGUGAUCCUUAAUGAACCCGACUAGUAUCCAUGAGGACUCAGGUUUGAUCCCUGGCCUCACUCAGUGGAUUAAGGUUCUGGCGUUGCUGUGAGCUGUGGGGUAGAUUGCAGAGGUGACUUGGAUCCCUCUUUGCUGUGGCUGUGGUAUAGGCUGGCAGUUGCAGCUCCAAUUAGACCCCUAGCCUGGGAACUUCCAUAUGCCUCAGGUGUGGCCCUAAAAAGACAAAAAAGAAAAAAGAGAGAGAUGUAAAUGAAGAUAAAUCCUACUGGUGUAGGGCUGCCCGCAAUCCAAUAUGUCCAAUUGUCUUUUAAGAGGAGACGCAGAGACAGUUACAUACACGGAGAAGAAUGCUGUGUGGUGACAGGGCAGAGAUUUGAGGGUGCAUCUGUGAGCGAAGGAUUGCUGACAAAACUAGAAGCUGAGGAAAAGGCAUGGAGCAGCUUCUCCCUGGAACCUCUUGAGAGAGCACGGCUCUGAAGAUGAUCUUGGGCUUCUACCCUCCAGAGGAAUAAUGUGAGGGAAAAAAUUCUUUUAAGCCACCUGGUUUGUGCUGUUUUCUUAUGGCAGCUCCAGAGGGACGGACAAGCCGACCAGAAGCACAAGAUGCAGAUAACUGCUGCUGAGACCUGUAGAGUGAGCCAGGGUGAUGACAAGGCAGUGAUGCUGAUGAUGGAGAGAGCUAACGGCUGCUGGGAACAUUCUACAUGAUGAGUGAGGUUCUUUUUUUUGAUUUUUAAAAAUUAUUUUAUUGGAAUAUAGUUAAUUUACAAUGUUAGGUUGAUUUCUGCUAUAUAGCAAAAUGGUUCGAUCUCUCUCUCUCUCUCUCUCUCACACACACACGCACACACACACAUCCUUUUUCCUAUUCUUUCCCAUUGUGGUUUAUCAUAGGAUAUUGAGUAUAGUUCCCUGUGCUGUACAGAAGGAUGGAGGUUGUUGUUUGUCCAUCCUAUAUAUAAUAGUUUGCAUCUGCUAAUCCCCAACUCCAAAUUCAUCAUCCCUCCCCACACCUCCUCCCCCUUGGCAACCCACAGUCUGUGAGUCUGUGUCUUUUUUUUUUUUAAUUGUUAUUUGUAAAUAAGUUCAUUUGUGUCAUAUUUCAGAUUCCAUAUAUAAGGGAUAUCAUAUGGUAUUUGUCUUUCUCUUUCUGACUUACUUCACUCAGUACGAUAAUCUUUAGUUGCAUCCAUGUUGCUGCAAAUGGCAUAAUUUCAUUCUUUUUUAUGGCUGAGUAAUAUUCCAUUGUAUACAUGUACCACAUCUUAACCCAUCCCUCUGUCCAUGGACAUUUAGGUUGUUUCCAUGUCUUGGCUAUUGCGAAUAAGAGGUGGACACUGUUCUGAGUGCUCUACAUGUAUUUAUUCAUUUGAUCCUCACUGGACCUGGUAAUGAGCAGCUUUUAUAAUCUCCAUUUUCUGAAUAAGGAUAGCAGGUAGAGGGUCUAAAUAAUGUGAUUAAUGUCACAGGCAGUAGAACUGAGACCUUGGCCACAGAGCCUGUGGUCUUUGCUUCCACGCUGGGUUCAUUCAUCUAAGGUUGUAAAAUGCCCCCUCAGUGCUAGACAUUAGAUGCUAGGUACAGAGAUGAACAUGCUUUGGUCUCUCUAACCCCAAAACUCUCACUGUCUUUCUGAUCCAAUCUAGCUGAUGACCCCGCCCACACACUGGAGAGCUGUGCUGUCCAAGUAUGACAGCCACUACCAUAUUUCAGCCACUGAGCUCCUGAAAUGUGGUCAGUUUGAACUCGCACAUGCUGUGUGUGUAAAAUACACACUGGGUUUAGAAGACCUAGUACAACAAGGAUGUAAAAUACCUCAUCAAUAUUUAUUUUACUUUAUUAAAAAUUUUUAUUGGAGUGUAGUUGACUUACCCAGCUGUAAGUGUUGUGUUAGUUUCAGGUGUACAGCCAAGUGGAUCAGUUAUAAAUAUAUUCAUUCUUUUUCCCAUAGAGGUUUUUACUAACUAUUGAGUAGAGAGUUCUCUGAUGGCCUAGUAGGUUAAGGCUCCCACAUCUUCACCACUGUGGCUCUGAUGACUGCUGUGUGGUGUAGGUUCGAUCCCUGGCACAGGAACUUCCCCAUGCUGUGGGUA
Molecule: long non-coding RNA, 2479 nt
Filed under: Sus scrofa (pig)
Lineage: Eukaryota; Metazoa; Chordata; Mammalia; Artiodactyla; Suidae
Description: lncRNA (ENSSSCG00025020939.1)
Source: RNAcentral